Molecule: ribosomal RNA, 398 nt
Filed under: uncultured bacterium
Lineage: Bacteria
Description: partial 16S ribosomal RNA
Rfam family: Bacterial small subunit ribosomal RNA
Source: RNAcentral
CUACGUAGGUGGCGAGCGUUGUUCGGAUUUAUUGGGCGUAAAGGGUCCGCAGGUGGUUGGAUAAGUUCGACGUGAAAUCCCAGAGCUCAACUCUGGAACUGCGUUGAAAACUGUCUGACUGGAGUAUCGGAGAGGAGAUUGGAAUUCCAGGUGUAGCGGUGGAAUGCGUAGAUAUCUGGAAGAACACCGAAAGCGAAGGCAGAUCUCUGGACGAUAACUGACACUCAGGGACGAAAGUAUGGGGAUCAAACAGGAUUAGAUACCCUGGUAGUCCAUACCCUAAACGUUGUCAACUUGAUGUGAGAAGUAGUUUACUCCUUUUCGUGUCGAAGCAAACGCGAUAAGUUGACCGCCUGGGAACUACGGCCGCAAGGCUAAAACUCAAAGGAAUUGACGGG